AACAAUGGUGGUGGUGGUGGUGAUGUCGAUAACCAUCCUGAGUUCCAGCUACAGCUGCAGAGGUUCGAUUCUGAUGAAGGCCAACGCCACGUUGGGUAGCGUGAUGACGACCGAGUUGAUCAUCAAGCACGAUAUAACUCGGUAUCUCAUAUUCAAGGGUGCCACCGCAGUGACAGGUGCGACUGCGGACCCAAACAUCGUGACAUGUGGCAAUGGCGCCGGAAACACGUUUUCCGGCUGCGGUGGUAAUGCUAAUAAUACACAACAGUGCAAUGCAUACCAAGGACCUAACGCUUGCUUAUAAUCCCUUCAGUUCCAUAUUAAUAUGAUCACUAUGACUCUGCGCAGUUUCUAUGUCAUCGUGUAAUCCCCUGUUUUUUAUGAUCCUCUGUUCUUCUUUCUAUUUCUCUUUGAAGUGGAGUUUGUUUGUUUGAUGCUUUCAUUAACAAUGUAUUUGGUGCUUUGUUGUUUGUUUUUGUGAAAUAAGAACUAAAUCAAAUCACUUUUCUUCUUCUCUCUCUUGUUCAAUCCAUUGAUCCUCUAAGUAUUUUCGUAAUAAAGAUUAAAUUGUUACCGUCUACAAACUUAUAAUCUUUAUUGUUAUAUACGUAUGGUUAAGUUUUGAGUUUGAUUUCGAUUUGAUCUCUAAUUUUCAAAAUGUUGUAUUUUAAUAUUGAUAUUUGAAUUUUAUUUUAAUUUGGUCCAUAGAAUAUUUACAUUUGUCAUCUCAACUUUUCACUUAUUAAUAAUGUAUGUUAAUAAAUUUAGAAUAAUUAAAAGAAAUAUAAUGAACUAGAAUUCACUUUUUUCCUUCCUUUUAAAAUUAAUUUAGAAUUUUACGUCUUAAUUAUUUUAAAUUAAUUAGAAAACAUUAACGUCCAUCAUUCUAAAUGAGUAUUUAUUAAAAAAAAGAAAUAAAAAUAUAAAAUAUUAAAUUCUGAAAACCAAAUUGAAACAAAGUUCAAAUCUUAAAAUUUAAAACGUAACAUUUCACUCAAUAGAAACUAAACUUAAAAUCUAUAUAUAAAAUACUUAUUAUCUGACUGAACACCAAAUAUAAAUUAAAAGUCAAUUUUAAAUUUUUAAGAAUUUGAAAAUGAAAUAGAUUCAAACGUAAAAAUUUUAAUUUUACAAAUAUUUUAUUUUAGAAAAAAAUAUCAUUUUACAAGUAUGAAUUUUUCCAAUUCUAUCUGUAUAAACUUUAAAUUAAUAAAAUUUAUAAUCCAUUUUAAUAGUAAUUUUAUUAACCCAUUAUUUGAAAAGUAUGCACAGGAGCUAUAAUUGAAUGCAAUAUGGCAACUUUUAAAUGUAAUAUAAUCAUGAUAAAAGAUUUAGAUUAUUCACUUAUAACACUUUAGAAAUUUAAUUAAAAAGUUUAAUAUUUAAAUUAAUGAUUGGUUGUAUUAAUUGAAAACUUUAACUUUAUUUUUAUUACAUCAAAUUGCACUAAUAAAGUAGUGAAAGUUAGGAAAAGCAAAAACUAAAAAGCAAGAGGAAGUCCCCACAUUCCAUGCGACAUGUCGUAUUGAAAUAUGCUUUUAUCUCUUUUAAAAGUUGUUGUGUCGUUCGUCUCGUGGGAAUAGAAAACUAUUAGGAAUAUUUUGGAUAAAAAUCAUUAUAAUUUGGUCCAAAUCUUUUCUAAUCCACAAAAGCAACUUUAGGUUUUGUACUAAUACGAGCCAACCUUUACUAAUUUCUUUUACUAUUUGUUACGAUAGAUUUGGAUUAGAGGGAAAAUUAUCAGAUUAAGUAUUAAAACAUGGGAGUCUAGGUCGAUGUGUUCAAACUAACCUAUUAGGCCUCUUGUUCUUGGCCAAGGACGAUGGAGGCAUGCUCUGGCCUAUUUAGGUCAAAGUUAGAUCAAGAGGAAGUCUCUUCAUUUAAUGAAUGUGGGAUCAUUUGAUUGAGAAUUAACCUAAUAUGACUCGAAAUUCCUCAUAUAUAUAUGAACAACUUAGAUCAGAAUUUCACUAUAAAUACAUUGUUGUGAUGAUUUUAAGAGAAGUAAGUUCAUUUUCAUCCCUAAAAUUCUUGUUACAACCAAAAGCUACUUUUUGACUAAGGUAUUGGAGACGUGAUAAUUUUGUCCAUCAACACUCCCGAUCUUAAACUUAUAAUUACAUAGAACAUAUUGAUAAGGUAUUAAUGUCGGUCAAUAUGGUUUUACAUUGUAAAGAAAUCUAAAAUCAACAAAAUGUUUUGAUUUUUCUCUCGACGAAGAUAUUAGAUACUUAAAAAAAUUAUAUCUAUAAAUUUCAACCCUAAAUUACC
Molecule: long non-coding RNA, 2271 nt
Filed under: Cucumis sativus (cucumber)
Lineage: Eukaryota; Viridiplantae; Streptophyta; Magnoliopsida; Cucurbitales; Cucurbitaceae
Description: long non-coding RNA (CSAT_LNC002139)
Source: RNAcentral